AUGCUUGCAAUUGGGCCAACGAUUUGCUGCUAUUGCUGUUGAGGAUCUGCUGCCGUUGCUUCUGUUGAGGGCCAGUGAUUUGCUACUGUUGAUAUUGAGGAUCUGCUGCUGUUGCUUCUAUUGAGGGCCAAUGAUCUGCUGUUGUUUCUUCUGUUGAGGAUCUGCUAUCGAAGGGAAGGAGCUACAGUUGAGGAUCUGCUACUGUUGCCAGGGGACAAGCCGGCAAGGAGCACCGAGCCUGGAGGUGGUCACGCAUGAGAGGAGCUCCUGAUCUUCUCCCCUGGCCCCCGGCGAGCUGGACCUUCUGGCGACACGGGGAAGAAGGGAGGUGGUUCUGGGCGAGCUUAAGCUUGCCGGCGAAGUGCUGCUGGGGCCGGCGGCCGGCGAGGUGCCCUCCUGGGGCCGGCAGCGAGGUUCCUGGAUGAGCAGGAAGCUGGGCAGGGAGGAGGAGAUCCUGGGCGGAGGAGAAUCUGGGCGAGGUGGGAAGGGAGGAGAUCCUGGCGAGGAGAAUCUGGGCGAGGUGGGAAGGGAGAAGCUGGGCGGCGAGGUGUGCGGUGAGCCGGCGACGCGCUGGGAGGCGACGCACUUGGCGAAGCGAUCCCGAUGGUUUUUGAAUUUCAAAUUGAUCGAAGGGUAUUGUUGUCCAUUAGCGAUUUUUGGGGCUGUCGGAAAUCUCCUUCCGCGCCUUACAAAAGUGAACGGAGGGAGACGUUCCCGUCGAUGACGAGGUGCCUACGGUGACUUCGUAAAUUUUAAGAUGAUAUGCUGGCUCAGUCUUUCGAAGAUGCUCAUAGAGAUAGGGAUGAAUGUAUGCGUAUGUAUAUAAACACUUGUUGUACUGUAUUAAAAAAUAUUAUCUGUCUUUUAUUACCUACUUAUUUUCGAGCGCACAUAUGUGCAUGAAUCACGACGCGGUUUACUCCAAGCAGAGCAUUUCUGCUCAAUCACAGUGCACGAGGUCUCGGAAAACGCGGCGUGUUCGCUCGACCAGCGCGCGUUGUUUAAUU
This 1007-nucleotide long non-coding RNA is filed under the name Triticum aestivum (bread wheat). RNAcentral's name for it is "long non-coding RNA (TAES_LNC022484)". Lineage: Eukaryota; Viridiplantae; Streptophyta; Magnoliopsida; Poales; Poaceae. The record is from RNAcentral.